GGGGGGGCGGGGGGGGGCGGCAGCCCCCCAGUUUGUUGGGCAGUCGGGCAAUAUUCGCUGAACAGUCGGGCAAUUUUGGUUUAUUAUAAAAAAAAAUGGGACAAGUUCUGUAAAUUUUGUGGUCAAUUUUGUGAUGUUUCGAAAAUUUUUGUUAGGUUCAGGAAAAUUUUUGUAUGACCGAAAAAAUUUUUUGACCCCUAAAAUGGUACACUGACCGAAAUUUUUUUGGCGACGGGGGGGGGCAGAGGUCGCCAAAAUAGAUUCCGGAAAAAAAUUUUUCGAUACUUGUCGGGCAAAAUCCGGAAAAGUCGGGCAAAUUUAUUUCCGCACCCCUAAAUUUUUCCUUCCGGUACGCCCAUGAACAUUACAGAAG
Non-coding RNA from Paramuricea clavata, 373 nucleotides. Lineage: Eukaryota; Metazoa; Cnidaria; Anthozoa; Malacalcyonacea; Plexauridae. The record is from the annotation of a GenBank genome assembly.